GGCCCUGGGGGCACCGCGAGCAGCGCGUUCAGGCUCAGCAUCAGCCUCGGGGCUCUUUCCUAUGGACAGAACAGCAGAGUCCCCGGAAGAAACAUAUAGAAACACAAAGAAGAGGAAAAAGAAAGAUAGAGAGUUUCAAGCAAAAUGCUUCCGUUUCUACACUGAAAUGCAGGAUCCCCCGGACUGCUUAUCCGCCUUCCAGUGAUUUGGCGGCAGAAAAUGGGAUGACAUCAGCAAACCAAUCCCUAGCCGAGUGGACAGCAGCUGUAUGUUUCGUCAGCUUUGUUCUCCGUUGCGUGCCUGCUACGAAGAAAAGCGGCUAACCCCCAAUCGCUGCUGGAAAGAUAUGAAGACCUUGUCCUUCGCUAAGACCCAGGAACUCGAAUCCUCAGGUCAGCAAAAUUGACGUCAGAUCUCCUAGACCAGCUGCAGCCUCCUCUCCAGGAAAAGUGCC
Molecule: long non-coding RNA, 454 nt
Organism: Myotis lucifugus (little brown bat)
Lineage: Eukaryota; Metazoa; Chordata; Mammalia; Chiroptera; Vespertilionidae
Exons: 5
Source: RefSeq, a predicted model, not a curated record